Pelobates cultripes (western spadefoot toad) is the source of this 285-nucleotide non-coding RNA. NCBI's taxonomy places the organism in Eukaryota, Metazoa, Chordata, Amphibia, Anura, Pelobatidae. The record is from the annotation of a GenBank genome assembly.
CUUCACAUGUACGAAAAUGCAGCAGUGACGCAACUCCUGGUGGAUGAAGCACUAGAAGUUGAAGGAAGAAGAUUGCUGCACAUGCGGGAGACAGAUUCAAGGAAGGAUUUAUGUCUUUCGCAAGCACCCCAGGCCUCCAUACACUAAGUGGGGAUGUCAUCUUCAGAGGUGUUUGCUAAAUAUCAAAGAAAAAAAGUUACCUGCGCUCUCUCCCAAAUCCCUAUGUAUAUUUAAACAAAUCAAGGUUAUUUAGUUACUCCAACGGCCAUUGGAGUGAAUGCCCAC